Molecule: ribosomal RNA, 460 nt
Filed under: uncultured bacterium
Lineage: Bacteria
Description: partial 16S ribosomal RNA
Rfam family: Bacterial small subunit ribosomal RNA
Source: RNAcentral
CCUACGGGAGGCAGCAGUGAGGAAUAUUGGUCAAUGGACGAGAGUCUGAACCAGCCAAGUAGCGUGAAGGAUGACUGCCCUAUGGGUUGUAAACUUCUUUUAUAUGGGAAUAAAAUGUUCCACGUGUGGGAUUUUGUAUGUACCAUAUGAAUAAGGAUCGGCUAACUCCGUGCCAGCAGCCGCGGUAAUACGGAGGAUCCGAGCGAUAUCCGGAUUUAUUGGGUUCAAAGGGAGCGUAGGUGGAUUGUUAAGUCAGUUGUGAAAGUUUGCGGCUCAACCGUAAAAUUGCAGUUGAAACUGGCAGUCUUGAGUACAGUAGAGGUGGGCGGAAUUCGUGGUGUAGCGGUGAAAUGCUUAGAUAUCACGAAGAACUCCGAUUGCGAAGGCAGUUCACUGGACUGCAACUGACACUGAGGCUCGAAAGUGUGGGUAUCAAACAGGAUUAGAUACCCUUGUAGUC